UACGUAGGGUGCAAGCGUUGUCCGGAAUUAUUGGGCGUAAAGAGCUCGUAGGCGGUCUGUCACGUCGGCUGUGAAAUCCCGAGGCUCAACCUCGGGUCUGCAGUCGAUACGGGCAAACUAGAGUAUUGCAGGGGAGACUGGAAUUCCUGGUGUAGCGGUGAAAUGCGCAGAUAUCAGGAGGAACACCGGUGGCGAAGGCGGGUCUCUGGGCCGAUAUUGACGCUGAGGAGCGAAAGCGUGGGGAGCAAACAGG
Molecule: ribosomal RNA, 253 nt
Filed under: uncultured bacterium
Lineage: Bacteria
Description: partial 16S ribosomal RNA
Rfam family: Bacterial small subunit ribosomal RNA
Source: RNAcentral